UACGUAGGUGGCAAGCGUUGUCCGGAUUUAUUGGGUUUAAAGGGUGCGUAGGCGGUGUCCUAAGUCAGUUGUGAAAUACGGCAGCUUAACUGUCGAGGUGCAAUUGAUACUGGGACACUUGAGUACUGAUGAGGUAUGCGGAAUGGACGGUGUAGCGGUGAAAUGCGCAGAUAUCAGGAGGAACACCGGUGGCGAAGGCGGUUCUCUGGGCAUUACCUGACGCUGAGGAGCGAAAGUGUGGGGAGCGAACAGG
Molecule: ribosomal RNA, 253 nt
Filed under: uncultured bacterium
Lineage: Bacteria
Description: partial 16S ribosomal RNA
Rfam family: Bacterial small subunit ribosomal RNA
Source: RNAcentral